CAUUUGGAGGUCAAUAUCGAACAGAUUCGUUAGUGGCUUUCAGAUUCGGACUUCAUUAACGUAGCGUCUCGCCGUAUGCCAUUACCGAGAUGACUACGUUUUUUU
Molecule: regulatory RNA element, 105 nt
Rfam family: 23S methyl RNA motif
Source: Rfam